GUGUCAGCAGCCGCGGUAAUACGUAGGGGGCAAGCGUUGUCCGGAUUUAUUGGGCGUAAAGCGAGCGCAGGCGGUUUGCUAAGUCUGAUGUGAAAGCCCCCGGCUCAACCGGGGAGGGUCAUUGGAAACUGGGAGACUAGAGUGAAGAAGAGGAGAGUGGAAUUCCAUGUGUAGCGGUGAAAUGCGUAGAUAUAUGGAGGAACACCAGUGGCGAAGGCGGCUCUCUGGGCUGUAACUGACGCUGAGGCUCGAAAGCGUGGGGAGCAAACAGGAUUAGAAACCCGAGUAGUCC
Molecule: ribosomal RNA, 292 nt
Filed under: uncultured prokaryote
Description: partial 16S ribosomal RNA
Rfam family: Bacterial small subunit ribosomal RNA
Source: RNAcentral